This is a long non-coding RNA of Tupaia belangeri chinensis (Chinese tree shrew), 1125 nucleotides long. RefSeq lists it as uncharacterized. The record is from RefSeq and is a predicted model, not a curated record. The transcript has 3 exons. Lineage: Eukaryota; Metazoa; Chordata; Mammalia; Scandentia; Tupaiidae.
CCCAGCCUACACACUAUCUCCCUCUAAGAACUGCUCUGGUUCCAGGGAGGACCUGGGCCCUCAGCCUCACAGACUCUCUCCUCCCCUCUCCCCCUCCCCAGCAACACUGCUAGGCAUCCCUGUCUUUCCUCCAGCCACAGAGGGAGAUGGGGUAAAGAUGGCGGUCUGCCUCAGGCCCACUGGGCCUCCAGGGUCCCACUUUCUGCCCACUCACCUGGCUCCGAGGGACCACUACUGAGGGGGAACAUCCAACCGGGCUAUCAGCCUAACUGGCCAUGAGCCCAGCCCAUCCCCAUGAAGCAUCCUGAUGAAACAAACAUCAGUGACGGCGCGAAGGAGAAAGAGCAUGACGUGGAGGCUCGCAGGACGCCACGCAGGCGGAAAAAGGCUCGGGGCUAAGGAACAGAAAACGGACUGGAGGAACCGCACUGCACACCAUCGCCUCAUUUAGUGCUCAGCCCAUAGGAGGGAAGUGCGCCAGCAUGGGAGGAGGCAAGAUUACCACCUCUAAGGAAGAAGAAACUGCUGGCCAAGUGGUAACAGUAACCCGUGAUCACACGUGAGUAUUUCCAGGCCCCACACUACACGCCGUGCCUCGAUGGAAAUUCAACUCAACCGGCCGAAUAACCCUGCGCAAGCCACUUUACCUCCCUAGGUCUCGUUUCCCUCUGGCCUCACAAUCACAAAGCUCCUUCCAGUUCUGAAUCAGCACGUAAGUGGAGGGCAUCAGCCUUGGCAGGCCCUGAUCAGGCCUGACUCAGCUCUUUGUUCUCCGUGGCCUUGGCAACAAACGGAAAUCAAAUUCUCACAGGCAGCAGGAACCAGCCUUAUCCUCUGGGUCAAUGCCCAUUUGUCAAACAUUUGGCAAAAGUUACAUUCAUAUUCGUGAACCCUCAACAUAGCUUCAUUCAUUGUUUGACACACAGAAUUUAUGACAUCUGUUAGAGGAAUGCGGCUCUGAAAACCCUCAAUGUCAAAAAGUAUACAUGAUGGAAAGAACACUUUUGUACAGUUCGACAUUUGUUAAUUUCUUUCCUAACCCCCGUCUCCAAUUCUAGAAAUGAUGGCUCCCCGAGCACCCCUAGUCUUUUUGUUUUGAUUGAAGAGUUCAGACUUCUUUUUCUG